This is a long non-coding RNA of Mus musculus (house mouse), 2404 nucleotides long. RefSeq annotates it as predicted gene, 31529. Lineage: Eukaryota; Metazoa; Chordata; Mammalia; Rodentia; Muridae. The record is from RefSeq and is a predicted model, not a curated record. The transcript has 3 exons.
CAGGGUCUGCCUUAUUCAAGUCUGCCGCUUACCUGUCCCUCCUGGACCCUCCAACUCUCCUUCCAUAGCUGAUUUUUUUCUCCGCAGAGUGGCUACACAGUCAGGACUCUCUGGUAACCUGAUCUACCUUCCCUUCCCAUGUUACAGAUGAGGAAAUAGAGACCUGGACCCGGAAAAACACCAGCCCCACCUCUAGAGAUCUGUGGUUGACAAGGCUGAAGACUGCACUCACCUGCCAGAAGAGUUGCCCUUCUACAUGGUGGCAAUAGCAGCAUCUCCUGGCUUCCAACCCCAGCCUCACACAACUUCCUUAAUUCUGCAGCUGCAUCUGGAAUUCUACCAUUUGGGUCCUGGUCUUUAUAGAACUUAGGGCUCAUAACAUUUGUUCCCUAGGAUACAGGCAUCAGAACUGGGGCUCUGCGAUCAUCAUCUUGAAAGUACAAGGUCAUCCCCCUGUGCACAAAAAAGGCUACAUAGGGGUGAGGAAGACCCUUGCGGUUCGUUCUGCCUGGCUCUCCCGGGCUGCCCCUCCUCUGCCCCAUCACAGCCAAGCUCAUUUGGUCUUGGCUGCCCUGGCUCUGCCCUCGGGGUUAUGGAACUGUCAGCUUGAUUUCCACAACCUUCCAUCAGCUGAGCGGGUGGCCAUCUCUCAAUCCUGAUCAGACUGGAUACCAUCAGCUUUGUAACAUCCGUUCCCUUGGGCCCCAGCAAGAAGCCACGAAGUGGGGAGAAGGUCUAAGGAUGCCUGGGCUCUUCGGCCACAGCUUCCUCGGCAACUUGGAAACGGCUCCAGAAACAAGCAGGAGCUUGUUUCAACUCCCGGAGGAAGACAGCCCAAUUCAGUACUGCCUUGUGGACGGGCGAGUUGGAGAAGACAGUGAGGACUUGCACUCAGAGAGCUCUGUGGAAACCUCGGAAGGAGCUCGGGGACUGGCCUAACUUCCCACUCUGAGGAUGGCUGACAGGCUCAAGAAAGGAAACUGACUUCUCCAAAUCCCCACAAUGUCAGUCCUAAGAAUCAACUGCUGUGUUUUACUGAUCACUAUGCAAGUAGCUGCUCAUGAAAUGACUGAAGGAAUGAGUGGUAAGCUAGUGGUUAGCUUACCUUCUCUCCCUAGUCAAGAGGGAAGACUACAGGUACUCCACCCACAGGAGGGGGUUGGAAUCAAGAUGGGAACGGCAGCCUGGUUCUCUAAAGACAAGGCUAGCCCAAUCCAGAACCUGGCUACAGGGAGCCAAGCUAUGGAAAGGGGCCCUGGGGCAGCCCUGCAGGCAGCAGAGGCGAUGGAAAAAAAGCCUAGUGCCUGUCAUGCACACUUGUGCAUGAGGAUGGGGGGGCGGGGGCAACGACACGCACAUGCGUCCUGAGGGAUGUUCCUUGCUUAUUGCUGUAGAUUUGUAUUCCUGCCGACUUUUAUUUCAGGCCUUGUUUAUUUCUCCUUAAAACGCGGCUGCUAUGCCAAGAGUCGUACCCGAAUUAGCUGCGAGUGUGUAAUUUUACAGCUAUUACCCGGGUGUUUCUGUGACUUGGAUAAUAAUGAGAGAAAUAUAAACAAACAACGGCUCAGUGGUUUAGCAGGGAGGCCUCGGAGCUGCGCGUGCAGGCUUUCCAAGGGGUGGAGUUCCAUCCCUCCCCUGUCCUCAUUUCUACCUACCCUUCCCAGUCACAAGUCACAUCAGACCCAGGAACAGGGGUGGGGAGGUGUAGGUCACUGAGCCGUGGCCCUAAGAUGUUUGCGCCCCCAGAGGGACAGUCUCCCACCCACAGCCGUCCUCCUCAUCCUCCCCUCUACAAAAGCAAACAAAAGGCUGGCCUAAUUAUGGGAUAUUUCCCUUCUCUAGCGGCUAAUGGCAGCAGAGCAUGUGUGACAUUUUGCUCUCUUUCCUUUAUUAUUCUUGCUUUUUAUCUACUGCUGCCAAAGGCUCCAGGCUGAGGCUGGCACACAUGCCCACCCCUCCUCCUUGGGCUCUGGCCCUUCCACUCCUCCAUGCAGCCCCUCCCCCAUCGCUCCAACAGAGAGAGCUUGGAUGAUCCUUUAGGUCACUCUGAAGAAAAUGGGAGCAGCAGUGUCUGGGCUAACCUUGGACUCCUGAGAACAGGGACCUGCGUGUUGCAUCACCCCACCGAGGUCUCACAGAACUCUUCUGUAAGUCCGUGUAUCUCCUGUGUGUCAGUUUCUCUAAAUCUGUGCCAUGAGAGAUUUGAUUCUCCCAAAAUUCUCCCUGCCCUAACACCCAGGGCUGAGGACCACGAGUGACACAGAGCCAUUAAAAGUCCUUUUGGGGGUGUCUCUGUGGGAAUGAGAUGCUCAGGGUACAGGUGUCAGCUGUGCCUCAGUUUCCACAAACACUGCCACCAGAAACAUCAAGCUUGUUAGCACUUAAAAAAAAAAAAAAAAAAAAA